CCCUUCCACUUCAUAAAAGCAAUACGUCAUGUUUUAGCUGAGGCUUUACUUUCAGUCUCAUCUUUAUUUUCUUUGUUGAUAUGUAAUUCUUCUACAGUUUAUGUUUACUAUUUCUCAAGGGUUACUUUUCUUCUUUAGAGACAACAUUCUGUAGUUCUUUGUUUAGACUGGUGGAUUCAGUUUCAAUGAUUUUUAGCAUCUGAAAACCUGUGAUUAAGAAUUAAGGGCUCCUUUUCUCAACCACUCACUCUUUUGACAUUAAUGAAGUGUUUACUAGUUGAUUGAUGGUUAAACAUAUUUUCAAGUGAUUAUUUUUUCUGAAGGGUUUCAUGAUUAUUUUCUGUCAUGUCUCAGUAUUUGUGUUACUGUACCUCAGUACAGUUCAUAGCCUACUUCUUUUGGUCUCUUUUUACUAUAGAAAAACUGUUAAUUAGCUUUUUUAAUUAGGUGAUUAAGUUACUACAAAGGUUCUCUGGACUGGUUGAGUUUUUGGAUUAAAAGCUCCCUUUAGGUGGCUCCAGGAGCUUAAUGUGUUGACCACUAGCUGAUCAUUCCCUGGUGUUGAUCCUAUGUAUUUUACUACAUGAUGAAAGGAGCUCUGAUGACUUCCAGAAGAUGGCUGCAGCCUAGGCCCAUGAAAGUCAAGGAGUUGUGAAAGAGACCAUACAUGUUCAAGCUUAAUAAUGUGCUAAUAAAAGACAAGUGGUAGCAACAGAAGAUGACCAGCUGUCCAAAGGACCACUGAUGUCACUACUUUUUGACCACCCUCAGCCUUUUUAUUAAGGGUGAGAAGAUGGACCCAGUAAUGUUUCCUUGGAGUUUGUGAAGCAGAGAUCUUUCUUUUGAUUAUUGUCGACUUUGCAUUUUUCUGGUUAAUUCAGAAUUUCUGCAGUUUAUUGGAUUUUGCUUUUGGAUUGUAGAUUUUGACUUUUUUGCCAUGGAUUGCCUUUUUAGGGAACUAUUUUUGCAU
This is a long non-coding RNA of Polypterus senegalus (gray bichir), 970 nucleotides long. RefSeq lists it as uncharacterized. The record is from RefSeq and is a predicted model, not a curated record. The transcript is spliced from 3 exons. NCBI's taxonomy places the organism in Eukaryota, Metazoa, Chordata, Cladistia, Polypteriformes, Polypteridae.